AUUUAACGCUGGCGGCAGGCCUAACACAUGCAAGUCGAACGAGUGGCGGACGGGUGAGUAAGGUCUGGGAAACUGCCUAAUGGAGGGGGAUAACUACUAGAAACGGUAGCUAAUACCGCAUACCAACUUAUGUGCCCAUAUGGGAUUAGCUAGUAGGUGGGGUAAAGGAUCACCAAGGCGACGAUACCUAGCUGGUCUGAGAGGAUGACCUGCCACACUGAGACUGAGAGACGGUCCAGACUCCUACGGCAGGCGGCAGUGGGGAAUAUUGCACAGUUUGCGAAAGCCUGAUGGUGCUAUGCCGCGUGUAUGAAGAAGGCCUUCGGGUUGUAAAGUACUUUCAUCGGGGAGGCGUUACCCGCAGAAGAAGCACCGGCUAACUCCGUGACAGCAGCCGCGGUAAUUC
This 406-nucleotide ribosomal RNA is filed under the name uncultured bacterium. RNAcentral describes it as "partial 16S ribosomal RNA". It matches the Rfam family "Bacterial small subunit ribosomal RNA", at positions 32 to 526 of the family's 1533-position model. The record is from RNAcentral.